This 253-nucleotide ribosomal RNA is filed under the name uncultured bacterium. RNAcentral's name for it is "partial 16S ribosomal RNA". It matches the Rfam family "Bacterial small subunit ribosomal RNA", at positions 524 to 776 of the family's 1533-position model. The record is from RNAcentral.
UACAGAGGGUGCGAGCGUUGUUCGGAAUCAUUGGGCGUAAAGCGCUUGUAGGCGGCUUGUUAAGUCGCGUGUGAAAUCCCUUGGCUCAACCAAGGAAGUGCGCGCGAAACUGGCGAGCUCGAGUGCCGGAGAGGGUCGCGGAAUUCCCGGUGUAGAGGUGAAAUUCGUAGAUAUUCGCAAGAACACCAGUGGCGAAGGCGGCUCACUGGCCCGAUACUGACGCUGAGGCGCGAAAGCUAGGGGAGCAAACGGG